AGGUUUUUAUUUCACGAGGGGCAUCUAGGAGUUGCUGUUCCUCAGCAAGGCCUGGAAAUAAAGGGUCAGAAGAGAGAGAUAUAAGAGGAGAAGAGGUCCCCAGCUGUGAGAGGACAACCCCCUGUGCUUGAUGUGAAUAAGGAGAAGGAACACUGCUCUCUGGGAAGACUCUGCCGACAGCCUAAUUGUUGCUUCAAGGGGGACAGGGAUACAGAAUAGAUGGGGAAAUGGAGGCAUUGAGAGGUUGAGGAAGGAACGGAAGGCCGAGCAAUGACCCCGCAUGGGGUCAUCUGAUUCCAGCACCCGUGCAUUAGCCACUCACUCCACACACUGCUCCCGCCUCCUCCAGAGUUCCAGAAAGCUCUCUCCUGCUCUGGGUUUCAAAGCGCUCAUUUCUCCAGCUCCAAGAGGAUUUGAGAGAUGAAGUUCUGUCUUCUCUUAUGGGUCAAUCUGGUCUUCACUUCUCAGGAAGGGUAGAGAAGGCACAGGAAAAGAAUGUUCUGCUUCUAAGACUCAGUUUAUAGAGGGCCAGCCUUGGGACCCCCAGCAGCUUUUGACCCUAGGGCCAUGCUGUUCGUCUAGAACAUCCCUCCAAUCUAGAAAUGGUUCUUCACUUACCCAGCAACUACCGAGUCCUCACCUGGCGUUUGGAAUUUCAUACAUAUGAGCUCAUAUAAUGCUCACUGUGAGCCUGCCACAGGGGCUGCCACAGGGGCUCAUCUCCCACCUCAGUGGCCACUCCUCUCGCCUUCUGUCUGUCCAUCUGGUACAGGUUUGCUCAGGCUGUGGCCUCGACCCGCCUCUCUUUUUGUAUGAUGGCCUCUUCCAGAGUAAGUUGUUAUUGUAACCAUGUCUGUAGGCUGAUGACCACCAAACCUACCUCUCUGGCCCCUGCUAGAGUUUAAGGCAAGUUAGGUGCCUUCAUACUUAACUUGUCUAAAAUGGAUUCAGUAUUAUGUACCUGCCGCCGCAUUUGACUAGAUUAAUGACGUUAAUUAAUGGCAAUAAAGCAUCUA
This is a long non-coding RNA of Zalophus californianus (California sea lion), 1016 nucleotides long. RefSeq lists it as uncharacterized. The transcript has 3 exons. NCBI's taxonomy places the organism in Eukaryota, Metazoa, Chordata, Mammalia, Carnivora, Otariidae. The record is from RefSeq and is a predicted model, not a curated record.